Molecule: long non-coding RNA, 202 nt
Filed under: Pan troglodytes (chimpanzee)
Lineage: Eukaryota; Metazoa; Chordata; Mammalia; Primates; Hominidae
Description: long non-coding RNA NONPTRT003171
Source: RNAcentral
CUCCAGAGAAGCAAGAAGGAGGACUCCUCUCUAACUCAUUCUGUGAGGGCAGGAUCAUUCUGAUACCAAAACCUGUCAGAGACACAGUGAAAAAAAAAAAAAAAAACCAACUUCAGGCCAAUAUCCCAGGUAAACCUACAAGUCUACAGUAACCAAAAUAACAUGGGACUUGCAGGAAAACAGACAGACCAAUGGAGCAAGU